This 38-nucleotide ribosomal RNA is filed under the name Maxillaria triloris. Its description in RNAcentral is "partial 18S ribosomal RNA". The record is from RNAcentral. Lineage: Eukaryota; Viridiplantae; Streptophyta; Magnoliopsida; Asparagales; Orchidaceae.
AAAAGGUUUCCGUAGGUGAACCUGCGGAAGGAUCAUUG